RNAcentral lists this ribosomal RNA (484 nucleotides) under uncultured bacterium. RNAcentral describes it as "partial 16S ribosomal RNA". It matches the Rfam family "Bacterial small subunit ribosomal RNA", at positions 29 to 507 of the family's 1533-position model. The record is from RNAcentral.
AUUGAACGCUGGCGGCAUGCUUUACACAUGCAAGUCGAACGGCAGCGCGGGCUUCGGCCUGGCGGCGAGUGGCGAACGGGUGAGUAAUGCAUCGGAACGUGCCCAGUAGUGGGGGAUAGCCCGGCGAAAGCCGGAUUAAUACCGCAUACGACCUGAGGGUGAAAGCGGGGGACCGAAAGGCCUCGCGCUAUUGGAGCGGCCGAUGUCGGAUUAGCUAGUUGGUGGGGUAAAGGCUUACCAAGGCGACGAUCCGUAGCUGGUCUGAGAGGACGACCAGCCACACUGGGAGUGAGACACGGCCCAGACUCCUACGGGAGGCAGCAGUGGGGAAUUUUGGACAAUGGGGGCAACCCUGAUCCAGCCAUGCCGCGUGCGGGAAGAAGGCCUUCGGGUUGUAAACCGAUUUUGUUCGGGAAGAAAUCCUCUGGGCUAAUACCCCGGGGGGAUGACGGUACCGGAAGAAUAAGCACCGGCUAACUACGUG